Molecule: long non-coding RNA, 1981 nt
Organism: Ficedula albicollis (Collared flycatcher)
Lineage: Eukaryota; Metazoa; Chordata; Aves; Passeriformes; Muscicapidae
Source: Ensembl
CGCAGUGCCGGGGAGCGCUUUGGGACGCUGCUUUACCCACUCUGGGACGUGCCGAUCCCUACCUGGAGCGCCCGAACACCGAGCGGGAGCGUGCGCACACCACGCUCACAGUUUCUCUUCAAUUGCUAGAACACUGUUUGGAAAGUAACACAGUAAAAUGUAUGGAACGCACUCUAGGUACAUGGCCGGAACCCUCUGAAGAAGUGAGACUACAGAGGAGCCAUGCAGCAGGGCACAUGAACAAGGGAGGGCUGCAGCUGACUGCCCCCAGUUUACCUAGGACAUGCAGUACUACAUCAUGGGGAUGGGAUAAAUCAAAGCAUUUGAAGCUGGAGAACAAUGUGACUUGCUUAAUUGCCAAACAGAAGGAUGAGCACAUUGACUCCUGAACUCCAGAAAAUCAGACUGGUCAGUGGCACCUCAGGACCUCAUGUCCAUCUUCUGCUUGUCUGGAAGCAUCCACAUUGUCCCACAGCUGAGUCUGAAAACAGACAAGAGCUCUAGCAGUGACCUCAGUGGAAAGGUUCUCUCACCAUCGUAUGCUGCUCUCUGUCCCACCAUCCUCUGUGGCAUUUGGGAGAAAUGCCCUCCAGACAAAGAGGACUUCAGAUCCCAGCACUACACUGAUUGUCUCGGAUGCUUGUAAACAACUGAAACCUUUCUUGUAUGAUAUGGACACAAAGUCUGACAUGAGAUGUCACUUCUGCAGAUGCUGUCAUGUGUCUCAUGACUAGGACUCACUGUGACAAGUCUAGGCAGUAACAGGAGAGUGACUGACAGUCGGGUGAGUCUGUGUACUUUAAUGAAGAAUGAGUCAAACUGUUUGCACACUUCUCAUGAGUGUCAGGGAGUUCAGGGGACAGAGUGAUGGCAAGAAAGCUUAAUACUUAUUUAUGAGAUCUGCCUUCACCAGCUGACGCUGAAUAUAAGGAUAAAGAUCUUUCCCUUCUCUAAGAUGGACAGCUACUGUCAUAGGAUCUUUGAUACAAUCCUUGGAAGCUUAGGACAUUAAAUCUGUGCUAGUGCCCCUGGCCCACUGCAGAGGUGAAGAUACAGCUUGGAGAUAUGGUGUGGAAAUAGGCAUCGAGGAAGUCAGAAGGCAAACCAGUGCCAUUCUUGAGGAAAUAGUAUUCUAACAGCAGAAAGCAACCUCUCAAGCAAGUGAACUUGUUCAGCUUUGGUCAGUGUAGUAAGUUACUGGUGUCUGUAGUUCUUCUGCACUAGAAGGUAGCAGCAAUAAAAGCCUUCUCUAAACGAAGAAGAGACCUCAUAUUGGGACAAGCUUUGGUGGGAGAGGUCUUGGAAAAAAGGUGAGAAAAGAGAAUUGUGAUACAAUACAUAACUAGAAGCUAUUGCCGGGCAUGCAAGUUGUGAGAAAGAAGAGGAGGACAAGUUGCCAGGAUUCAUACUAACAGAUACCUGACAACCUUAUUACUUGGGGCAACUGUGGCCCCCCGGGGGUCAGAGCAGUAUUGCCCUCUCCGAUAGAAGCAGUCCUGCUGCAUUACACAUUUCCAUAACAAGCUAAGGUGUGGCUCACAUGCAGAAGGGAUUAAGGUGUGCUAUUCUCGAAGUCCUGCAGGGGGAUUACCUGUCUCUGCCAUUUGAUAAAAGAGGUAAAGCUGCUACCUCUUCUGCAGGAGGAGUAAAUGAGUGUGGGGAGCAGCUUUGUGCUUCUUUCCCAGUUGUCUGCUUUCUUCAGCCUUGUGCAGACAAGGGGUCAGACUUCUACUAGCUCUGAUUUGGAGUGGAACAGAUUAAGUCUGCUCUCACUGUGAUAUCACAGGUCACAUAUCUUCCUGCUAUUCGCACUGGGAUCAGGCAACCCACAUCAGGGUUUGUGACAGUCACUGUUGCCCCCAUUCUUAAAUGGUGUUAAGGUGCUCGUAAACAAACGUUGCAGCUGGUUAUUUGCAGGACAUACACAGCAGGAGGUGAGCAAACUCUCCUGCAUGGCAUUGCCAGCAGAGCUGUGUUGAGU